This 468-nucleotide ribosomal RNA is filed under the name uncultured bacterium. RNAcentral's name for it is "partial 16S ribosomal RNA". It matches the Rfam family "Bacterial small subunit ribosomal RNA", at positions 28 to 507 of the family's 1533-position model. The record is from RNAcentral.
GACGAACGCUGGCGGCGUGCUUAACACAUGCAAGUCGAACGGAAAGGCCCUGCUUUUGUGGGGUGCUCGAGUGGCGAACGGGUGAGUAACACGUGAGUAACCUGCCCUUGACUUUGGGAUAACUUCAGGAAACUGGGGCUAAUACCGGAUAGGAGCUCCUGCUGCAUGGUGGGGGUUGGAAAGUUUCGGCGGUUGGGGAUGGACCCGCGGCUUAUCAGCUUGUUGGUGGGGUAGUGGCUUACCAAGGCCUUGACGGGUAGCCGGCCUGAGAGGGGGACCGGCCACGUUGGGACUGAAAUGCGGCCCGGACUCCUACGGGAGGCAGCGGUGGAGAAUAUUGCACAAUGGGCGGAAGCCUAGUGCAGCAACGCCGCGUGCGGGAAGACGGCCUUCGGGUUGUAAACCACUUUCGCCUGUGACGAAGCGUGAGUGACGGUAAUGGGUAAAGAAGCACCGGCUAACUACGUG